AACGAACGCUGGCGGCAUGCCUAACACAUGCAAGUCGAACGAGACCUUCGGGUCUAGUGGCGCACGGGGGCGUAACGCGGGGGAACCUGCCCUUAGGUUCGGAAUAACUCCCCGAAAGGGGUGCUAAUACGGGAGAAUGUCUUCGGACCAAAGAUUUAGCGCCUUUGGAUGGGCCCGCGUUGGAUUAGCUGGUUGCGAGGGUAAACGCCUAUCAAGGCGACGAGACAUAGCUGGGUUGGGAGGAGGAUCAGCCACACUGGGGCUGAGACACGGCCCAGACUCCUGCGGGAGGCAGGAGUGUGUGAUCUUGGCCAGUCGCCGGAGGCCUGAUCCAGCACUGCCGGGUGAGUGAUGAAGGCUUUAGGGUUGUAAAGCUCUUUUACCCGGGAUGAUAAUGACGGUACCGGGAGAAUAAGCUCCGGCUAACUCCGUG
This 433-nucleotide ribosomal RNA is filed under the name uncultured bacterium. RNAcentral's name for it is "partial 16S ribosomal RNA". It matches the Rfam family "Bacterial small subunit ribosomal RNA", at positions 29 to 507 of the family's 1533-position model. The record is from RNAcentral.